Molecule: ribosomal RNA, 253 nt
Filed under: uncultured bacterium
Lineage: Bacteria
Description: partial 16S ribosomal RNA
Rfam family: Bacterial small subunit ribosomal RNA
Source: RNAcentral
UACGUAGGGUGCAAGCGUUGUCCGGAAUUAUUGGGCGUAAAGAGCUUGUAGGCGGUUUGUCGCGUCUGCUGUGAAAUUUCGGGGCUCAACCCCGAACUUGCAGUGGGUACGGGCAGACUAGAGUGUGGUAGGGGAGACUGGAAUUCCUGGUGUAGCGGUGAAAUGCGCAGAUAUCUGGAGGAACACCGGUGGCGAAGGCGGGUCUCUGGGUAGUAACUGACGCUGAGGAACGAAAGCGUGGGUAGCGAACAGG